UCAAAAGCAUCUUCAUCCUUUCCUCCUCCCUUCCUUCUGCUGCUGUAUGCCCUUUCCUCUCUUCUCCGCCCCCUAAUCACCACUCUUAUGGCUACCCACAACCUCCAAAACCAUACCCUCAACGGUGACCACUGUGAUUCCACCGUCCCCAGUUCAAAAAAGCCCAAACUUUCUUCCCCUGCCACCACCACCACCAUUAUCUCCCACAGCCAAAUCCAAUCUGAAUUCUCCCACCACGACCUAUCCAUCGCCCGCAUCAACAACGGAAGCUUCGGCAGUUGUCCUCAAUCUGUCAUCUCCUCCCAGAAACAGUGGCAGCUUCAGUUCCUCCGUCAGCCUGACCACUUCUACUACAACCAGCUUAAGCCUGGUAUCCUCCACUCUCGAUCCAUUGUUAAAUCUUUAAUUAAUGCUGACCACGUCGACGAGGUUUCCCUCGUCGACAACGCCACCACUGCUGCUGCUAUCGUCUUGCAGAAAUCGGCACGGUCCUUCUACGAAGGCAGAUAUGAUGAAGGGUAUGUUGCUGUAAUGCUUCAUUAUGCCUACGGAUCUGU
This 557-nucleotide unclassified non-coding RNA is filed under the name Hevea brasiliensis (rubber tree). The record is from RNAcentral. Lineage: Eukaryota; Viridiplantae; Streptophyta; Magnoliopsida; Malpighiales; Euphorbiaceae.